RNAcentral lists this long non-coding RNA (288 nucleotides) under Nicotiana benthamiana. RNAcentral describes it as "long non-coding RNA (NBEN_LNC003663)". The record is from RNAcentral. Lineage: Eukaryota; Viridiplantae; Streptophyta; Magnoliopsida; Solanales; Solanaceae.
AUUGUAUGCUUUGUGUGUGAUUAUCUGACUCUGUAUGUGAGUAUCUGGUGUUGUGUGUGAAUACCUGAUUUGGUUAUACUCUGUUUGUUGAAAAACUAUUUUUUUAAGCCGGUUCAUUGAUUAUGGCUUCUAACACAAAUGCUGGUACCUCCUCCUAUGUAGACUCUUCUAGCCCCCUUUUUGUAUAUUCUUCUGAUGUCCCUGGGGUUUCUCUUGUUCCCACUCCCUUCUCGGGUAGUGGUUAUGGGGGCUGGAGGCGUAAGAUGAUUGUUGCCUUCUCCGCUAAAA